This is a long non-coding RNA of Cyprinus carpio (common carp), 1496 nucleotides long. Lineage: Eukaryota; Metazoa; Chordata; Actinopteri; Cypriniformes; Cyprinidae. The record is from Ensembl.
AAAAAGAAAAAUCACAAUGUGUGCCUGCUUUUUUAUAUCAUCAUACCCUGAAAGACUUGUUUCAAAUGAUUUUUAUAAUCAUAGCGAUGAAUAUUGCAGAAUUAAAUUUGCUCUCUGCUUCACAGCUCCAAAAGCAAAGGCAGCGGCUGUCAACAUACCCAAAACGAGAAGUAAAUCCACAUGAUCUGAUCAUACUUUACUUCUUUAAAGGGAUAGUUCAUCCAUAAAUAAAAGUUCUGCCAUCAUAUUCACCCUCAUGUCGCUAACUCAUGUGACUUUCUUUCUUCAAAGAAGAUACUUUGCUGAAUGUUCACACACUCUUUUCCACAUAAUGUACAUGAAUGGCAACGAGAGACUAUCAAGCUCUAAAAAUUACAAAAAAAGCACCAUAAAAAAAGUGGUACAUAUAAAUUAUGAGCGAUAUUCCAAAUCCAAAGAUCCAAGUCCAAAUCAAAGAUUUCAAAUCUGGAAAAUUAAAUAUGCACAUAUUCAAAUCACACAAAUUCAAACUACCAUGGAGAGGAGGAUUUUGAGUGGCAAACAACUUAUGAAAAUAUGAUUUUAGAUACUGGGCACAGCAUGAACAUCCUGCUUGACAUCUUCUUUUGUGUUCUACAGAAGAAAGAAAUUAUACAGGUUUUGAUCAAUGAGUGAAUGAUGACAGAUUUUUCAUUUUUGGCUCAACUGUUGAUGCCAAAUUUGAAAUUCCGUUUGAUCUAACUAUAUGACAGCGGUGCUUUCCCUUCUCCUAAUAACAGGAUCUCGAGCCUCAGAGGACAUGGAAGUGUCAGCUGCUCCAGCUCCGAUACAGGAUCUUCCUAUGUGCCGACCAACACCUGUGUACUGCCCAGCGCCACCUGGCUGGUAUGUGCAUCAUAUAGUAACAAGUAGCCCAUUACCACCAUCGGCUAUUCCAGAAUCAGAAGUUCCGAUUUUAACAACUCAUCAAGCUCCUACUUUACUGAAAGAACCAGAAGCUGUUAAGGCAAAGCCAAAACAAGCCACUAAAAAGAAAGAACCAGCUGCGGCAAAAGAAAAAGCCAAAGCAGGUCCUGCGAAGAAGGAGCCCACAGUUACUAAAGCCAAAGUAAAACCUGCAGUGGCAAAGAAAGGGCCAAUCGCUGUGAAAGAGAGGUCUAAAAGGACAGAGCGAGUGAUCACUAAAGAAAAGGCAAAACCUACCUCUACUAAGAAAGAUCCAGCAGUAACAAAGGCGGCAAGAGUAACAACAACCUCACAUAAAGAAGAGAAAGCUAUAAAGGAAGUGAAGCCCAAAGCAGAGGUCAAGAAAAAGGCCGCAUCAACACCAAAAGCCAAACAAGCUAUUAAAGUUGUGGGAAAACCUGUUCCAGAUGAGAAGAAAACGGCAGAAGAAACAAAAGAGAAAGCAGCCGAGGCACCAGCACCAGCAAAAAUUGGGAGAGCUUCAAAAACUUCCAGGCAACUCUGAGAAGAUCUGAAACCAGAGGAAAAUGUCACAGAAGGCAAAAAGCCAG